UUUAAUAGAAAUUUUUAUUUGGAUAAUAUAUUUUGUUCUUUACAACUUAAGGUCCAAAAUACAAAACAUAAAAGGCAAAACAUUUAGCAUUCGAUCUUCAAAACAAAAACUAACAAAGUUAGGUAGUUGGUUAUGGCUGGCAUAGACAGUGCUGGUUUGGUAGGAGACUUCGCGGACAUAUACUCUGAAAAUGCCGGAUCUUUACCUCGCAUAUAGCUGAGCACCAUCUCUAAAGUGCUGAUUUGGCUUUGUUGCUAUGCAGCUCAUGCUGCAUUUUCAAUGUCUCAUCGAGCAUUAGCGGGCUGCUUGCUCUUCAGUUUGACACUGAUCAGCUUGUAAUUGUUCUUGUGAGUCUACAAAUGAAGAAGAGGACAUUCCAGGGCCUUCUUUUCUCUUCUUGUUACCGUAAAUUGGACGAAGGCUACUAAUUCCAUACUCACGUCCUCUUAUA
RNAcentral lists this long non-coding RNA (451 nucleotides) under Brassica napus (rape). RNAcentral describes it as "long non-coding RNA (BNAP_LNC021535)". The record is from RNAcentral. Lineage: Eukaryota; Viridiplantae; Streptophyta; Magnoliopsida; Brassicales; Brassicaceae.